This 262-nucleotide ribosomal RNA is filed under the name Pelobates cultripes (western spadefoot toad). RNAcentral's name for it is "SSU_rRNA_eukarya". It matches the Rfam family "Eukaryotic small subunit ribosomal RNA", at positions 187 to 385 of the family's 1831-position model. Lineage: Eukaryota; Metazoa; Chordata; Amphibia; Anura; Pelobatidae. The record is from RNAcentral.
CCAGUGAGGGAAUUAAGGACAGCACGUUGUCCUUUUAACAGGGAUCCAUCAGGGUGGCCACCCAGUAAUCAGCACAAGUUAGAAUGUGGGCAACUCGGCAGUCGUUGCGCAAGCACUUUGGUGACUCUAGAUAACCUUGGGCCAAUCGCAUGUCCCCGUGACGGCGACAACGUAUUUAGAUGUCUGCCCUAUCAACUUUCGAUGGUACUUUCUGCGCCUACCAUGGUAACCAUGGGUAACGGGGAAUUAGGGUUCGAUUCCG